Long non-coding RNA from Brassica napus (rape), 847 nucleotides. RefSeq lists it as uncharacterized. NCBI's taxonomy places the organism in Eukaryota, Viridiplantae, Streptophyta, Magnoliopsida, Brassicales, Brassicaceae. The transcript is spliced from 4 exons. The record is from RefSeq and is a predicted model, not a curated record.
UUUUUUUUGCCUCUUGUCUUAAUUCGCAGAGGAGACAAAAGCGAUGUCGCAGCUCUUAUCUUCCCCUUUGGUGGCGUUAAGUUACAACCCCUUUGCUAGCCCUCGCUUUCUCUCUUCGUCUUCUUCAGUACUCGUCGCCACCGGCGGUCUCGCCGUGAAACGACAUGUACUAGCCUCGAAGCCGACGAAGACGGUGAAGCUCACUGUUAAGUCCCGACAGACGGAUUACUUCGAGAAGCAGAGGUUCGGUGACUCGUCAGAACGGUGAAGGAGGGCCUGCUAGGUUUUACGUGGGUCAUUCGAUAUACAAAGGGAAAGCUGCGGUCACGGUGGAGCCAAGAGCACCAGAGUUUGUGUCUUUAGACUCUGGAGCUUUCAAGUUGUCGAAAGACGGUUCUUUACUGCUUCAGUUUGCUCCUGCAGCUGGUGUGAGGCAAUACGAUUGGAGCAAGAAGCAGUUUCCAGUGGAUCGUAUUCAUAGGCAACUCAAGACCAGGGUUUCAGCACAUGGAAGAGUUGGUCCCACUGCUGCUGUUUACACGGCUUCGAUUCUUGAGUCCCUGACUGCAGAAGUUUUUGAGUUAGCUUGAAACACAAGCAAAGUUCCGAAAGUGAACAGGAUAACUCCAAGGCAUUUGCAGUUGGCACUGUGGUUAUCGUGUGGGUGUUUGUUAAGUCUUGGACUCCUUUUCCUUUUCUUUGUUUCGUUAUUAGGUGUUGUUACCUUUUAUUGGACAUCAGGUUAAUUUGAACUCUUAUGCUUCUCUUUUGAGCAAAUGUUGGCUUUCCAUACUCUUUUUGUAUAAACAAUAUAUAUAUAUAUAUGGGAAAAUGAUCAUUUAAAUCA